AAUAUUGGAAAAUGGGCGAAAGCCUGAUCCAGCCAUGCCGCGUGUGUGAAGAAGGUCUUCGGAUUGUAAAGCACUUGUAGUAGGGAGGAAGGGUUGUAGGUUAAUACGCUGCAAUCUUGACGUUACCCACAGAAUAAGCACCGGCUAACUUGCUGCCAGCAGCCGCGGUAAUACGAAGGGUGCAAGCGUUAAUCGGAAUUACUGGGCGUAAAGCGCGCGUAGGUGGUUCGUUAAGUUGGAAGUGAAAGCCCCGGGCUUAACCUGGGAAUUGCUUUCAAAACUGACGAGCUAGAGUACGGUAGAGGGUAGUGGAAUUUCCUGUGUAGCGGUGAAAUGCGUAGAUAUAGGAAGGAACAUCAGUGGCGAAGGCGACUACCUGGACUGAUACUGACACUGAGGUGCGAAAGCGUGGGGAGCAAACA
This 422-nucleotide ribosomal RNA is filed under the name uncultured bacterium. Its description in RNAcentral is "partial 16S ribosomal RNA". It matches the Rfam family "Bacterial small subunit ribosomal RNA", at positions 360 to 774 of the family's 1533-position model. The record is from RNAcentral.